UUGUGCCAUUCUGUUUGUGAAAAAAAUGGAAUACAUCUUGGAAACGAGUGCGGAGUACAUUUAUAGUAAAUUUCCAACAGACAAAUAGAAAUUAUUCGGACGAGAAACGUUCGUGAGCCCUUAGAUUACUCCUGACCACUCAAGUGGGGUUGCUGCCGGACUAUCAACUAGGACAGCAUUUUUUUCCGUAUCUUUCCGGCAUCGUUAGCCAUCGUGGGAAUUUAGCAGACUUGUUUAAAUUGGAUUUAAUGCUAAACCACCCUUAGCACAUAAGAUUGAGCUACUUGUUCCUCCCAUAGGUACUCCCAAUAAGAUCAGUGGUGACACUGUCAAGGUAACUGGAAGCAAGAUGAUUCUGAAAAUCUUUCUUGACCUUCCAAUUCGAUUUGUCAAUCGCUUUGGAGGAACGAUGUGCGGAAACGACAAUAUUUGUUAGUUUUCAGGAAUCUAAAAGAAGUGCGUCAUUUGAUAAUUAAGCAUACUAUACAAUGUUAAUUUGAUGGUUUGCAUACCAUUCAGACAACGAUUACAUUGAUGAUAGCAAAAGUGUUGCUGUCAAAUGUUCCACGAAGUAAAUUCUUUGGUGUUAAGGGAUUGUGUCAUCUUCCUAAAUACUGGGAAAGCCAAUUGAACAUACCGUUGCCGCAACGUGCUGUCGGGUAUAAAGCGACUCUGCUUCGCGAUGUUCAGAAGAAUUUCCGUCUCAAGCUGCUGACUCGAGGCGCACGGUUCAACAUUCUAUGAACGAAAAGUCCAGAGUAUGGUGAUGACCGGUGGCAGUAUGCUAGUAAGUCCAGUAGGAAUUCUGGCUGGCUCUAAUUAGAAUCGGUUGUGUCGCUGGAGCUGAAUCAUUUUCCGGGUGGAUUUACUGGGAUAGUGCAGGUGUAAUGAAAGGCAAUAAAGUUGGCAAAUUUUUCGCAACUUAUUAAAAUGUUGCUGUUUUAAAUAAAUUUCAUU
Topomyia yanbarensis is the source of this 957-nucleotide long non-coding RNA. RefSeq lists it as uncharacterized. The transcript has 3 exons. The record is from RefSeq and is a predicted model, not a curated record. NCBI's taxonomy places the organism in Eukaryota, Metazoa, Arthropoda, Insecta, Diptera, Culicidae.